Molecule: ribosomal RNA, 424 nt
Filed under: Verrucomicrobiota bacterium
Lineage: Bacteria; Pseudomonadati; Verrucomicrobiota
Description: Verrucomicrobia bacterium partial 16S ribosomal RNA
Rfam family: Bacterial small subunit ribosomal RNA
Source: RNAcentral
UGAGGAAUAUUGGUCAAUGGACGGAAGUCUGAACCAGCCAAGUAGCGUGCAGGAUGACGGCCCUAUGGGUUGUAAACUGCUUUUAUACGGGGAUAAAGUUAGGGACGUGUCCCUAUUUGCAGGUACCGUAUGAAUAAGCAUCGGCUAACUCCGUGCCAGCAGCCGCGGUAAUACGGGGGAUGCGAGCGUUAUCCGGAAUUAUUGGGUUUAAAGGGUGCGCAGGUGGCUAAUCAGGUCAGUGGUGAAAAGCUAUGGCUCAACCAUGGUCUUGCCAUUGAAACCGUAUAGCUAGAGAGGAGACGAGGUAGGCGGAAUGUGUGGUGUAGCGGUGAAAUGCAUAGAUAUCACACAGAACUCCGAUUGCGAAGGCAGCUUACCAGGCUUUAUCUGACACUUAGGCACGACAGCGUGGGGAUCAAACAGG